Long non-coding RNA from Esox lucius (northern pike), 841 nucleotides. RefSeq lists it as uncharacterized. NCBI's taxonomy places the organism in Eukaryota, Metazoa, Chordata, Actinopteri, Esociformes, Esocidae. The record is from RefSeq and is a predicted model, not a curated record. The transcript has 6 exons.
GGACACCGGAAGUAAGGGAUGCUAUUCUAGUGAUGGGGUUUUUCCCUCCUGGCCUCCUCUAUGUCUGCUGGGCCAAUGAACUCCCUCCAUGCUGGUACCACGUUGCCUGACCCCUCCUGCUGUGAGAUCACCAGGACAUGGGAGGGACCACUAGACAUGAACUGGACCAGAUCCUCAAAACAGGUAGGAAUGUACUGACUUCUCCUGCUUUGUUCUGGUAGAAAUCUACUGAUAUCUCUUGCUUUGUUCUGGUAGGAAUGUACUGACUUCUCCUGCUUUGUUCAGGAUGAUCUUCUCCCUGGCCAGCUCCUCCAAUACCAUCCUCUGAAGGAGAGGAGCAUUGGCCCCCCUCAAUACUGACACCAUCUCACCUCCCUGAUCAGACACAUCACAAGGAGGCUAACAACGGCACGACAUGGACCACACCACUGCUGGUACACAUCUACCACUGGGGGGCGCCAGAUUCACAAGAUAUUACAACACUAACAGCCAUUUCAGUAGAGUAAGGCUGUUACUAUUGACUCUUAUUUACACGUUGCUGUAAUUUGUUGGAACUGCAUCAGACAGACAGAGUGAAUGAUGAAGAGAACAUCUCACAUGAAACAAGGGACAAGAGAACAUCCCACAUGAAAACAAUGGUCAACACUAAAAUCCAUAAUUUUUAAGAGAGCUCAUGAAUGUUACCUGUUAACCCUUUAGUUGCCAGCAUCUCCUCCCAUGCCUCUUGGUUUGUGACAGACAUCUGGAGAAAGUAGAACCGAGAACAGCAGUGUUACUUGAUGUCAGGAUGAUCCCCCACCAUGGAUAUCCACAUGAAAUGUAUGUUCAACCAACCUGUAAG